UAGGGAAUCUUCCACAAUGGACGAAAGUCUGAUGGAGCAACGCCGCGUGAGUGAAGAAGGUUUUCGGAUCGUAAAGCUCUGUUGUUGGUGAAGAAGGAUAGAGGCAGUAACUGGUCUUUAUUUGACGGUAAUCAACCAGAAAGUCNCGGCUAACUACGUGCCAC
RNAcentral lists this ribosomal RNA (164 nucleotides) under uncultured bacterium. Its description in RNAcentral is "partial 16S rRNA". It matches the Rfam family "Bacterial small subunit ribosomal RNA", at positions 355 to 511 of the family's 1533-position model. The record is from RNAcentral.